Podarcis lilfordi (Lilford's wall lizard) is the source of this 131-nucleotide non-coding RNA. Lineage: Eukaryota; Metazoa; Chordata; Lepidosauria; Squamata; Lacertidae. The record is from the annotation of a GenBank genome assembly.
GUAGCACCUUAGAGACCAACUAAGUUUGUUCUUGGUGUAAGCUUUCGUGUGCAUGCAUGUGUGCAUCUGAAGAAGUGUGCAUGCACAUGAAAGCUUAUACUAAGAACGAACUUAGUUGGUCUCUAAGGUGC